AAAUUGAAGAGUUUGAUCAUGGCUCAGAUUGAACGCUGGCGGCAGGCCUAACACAUGCAAGUCGAACGGUAACAGGAAGCAGCUUGCUGCUUUGCUGACGAGUGGCGGACGGGUGAGUAAUGUCUGGGAAACUGCCUGAUGGAGGGGGAUAACUACUGGAAACGGUGGCUAAUACCGCAUAACGUCGCAAGACCAAAGAGGGGGACCUUCGGGCCUCUUGCCAUCAGAUGUGCCCAGAUGGGAUUAGCUGGUUGGUGAGGUAACGGCUCACCAAGGCGACGAUCCCUAGCUGGUCUGAGAGGAUGACCAGCCACACUGGAACUGAGACACGGUCCAGACUCCUACGGGAGGCAGCAGUGGGGAAUAUUGCACAAUGGGCGCAAGCCUGAUGCAGCCAUGCCGCGUGUAUGAAGAAGGCCUUCGGGUUGUAAAGUACUUUCAGCGGGGAGGAAGGUGUUGUGGUUAAUAACCGCAGCAAUUGACGUUACCCGCAGAAGAAGCACCGGCUAACUCCGUGCCAGCAGCCGCGGUAAUACGGAGGGUGCAAGCGUUAAUCGGAAUUACUGGGCGUAAAGCGCACGCAGGCGGU
This 589-nucleotide ribosomal RNA is filed under the name Salmonella enterica. RNAcentral's name for it is "bacterial SSU rRNA". It matches the Rfam family "Bacterial small subunit ribosomal RNA", at positions 1 to 579 of the family's 1533-position model. Lineage: Bacteria; Pseudomonadati; Pseudomonadota; Gammaproteobacteria; Enterobacterales; Enterobacteriaceae. The record is from RNAcentral.